RNAcentral lists this microRNA precursor (94 nucleotides) under Spodoptera frugiperda (fall armyworm). RNAcentral describes it as "microRNA sfr-mir-10482 precursor". The record is from miRBase by way of RNAcentral. Lineage: Eukaryota; Metazoa; Arthropoda; Insecta; Lepidoptera; Noctuidae.
UACGUAGUUCGGUAUCGGUGAAUGCCAACGGAUUUCAUAGCUACUAGCUAUACUCACAGAAAUCCUUUGAUAUUCACCGGUAUCGCGCUACGUA